GACGAACGCUGGCGGCGUGCUUAACACAUGCAAGUCGAACGGAAAGGCCCUGCUUUUGUGGGGUGCUCGAGUGGCGAACGGGUGAGUAACACGUGAGUAACCUGCCCUUGACUUUGGGAUAACUUCAGGAAACUGGGGCUAAUACCGGAUAGGAGCUCCUGCUGCAUGGUGGGGGUUGGAAAGUUUCGGCGGUUGGGGAUGGACUCGCGGCUUAUCAGCUUGUUGGUGGGGUAGUGGCUUACCAAGGCUUUGACGGGUAGCCGGCCUGAGAGGGUGACCGGCCACAUUGGGACUGAGAUACGGCCCAGACUCCUACGGGAGGCAGCAGUGGGGAAUAUUGUACAAUGGGCGGAAGCCUGAUGCAGCAACGCCGCGUGCGGGAUGACGGCCUUCGGGUUGUAAACCGCUUUCGCCUGUGACGAAGCGUGAGUGACGGUAAUGGGUAAAGAAGCACCGGCUAACUACGUGCCAGCAGCCGCGGUGAUACGUAGGGUGCGAGCGUUGUCCGGAUUUAUUGGGCGUAAAGGGCUCGUAGGUGGUUGAUCGCGUCGGAAGUGUAAUCUUGGGGCUUAACCCUGAGCGUGCUUUCGAUACGGGUUGACUUGAGGAAGGUAGGGGAGAAUGGAAUUCCUGGUGGAGCGGUGGAAUGCGCAGAUAUCAGGAGGAACACCAGUGGCGAAGGCGGUUCUCUGGGCCUUUCCUGACGCUGAGGAGCGAAAGCGUGGGGAGCGAACAGGCUUAGAUACCCUGGUAGUCCACGCUGUAAACGGUGGGUACUAGGUGUGGGGUCCAUUCCACGGGUUCCGUGCCGUAGCUAACGCUUUAAGUACCCCGCCUGGGGAGUACGGCCGCAAGGCUAAAACUCAAAGGAAUUGACGGGGCCCCGCACAAGCGGCGGAGCAUGCGGAUUAAUUCGAUGCAACGCGUAGAACCUUACCUGGGUUUGACAUGGAUCGGGAGUGCUCAGAGAUGGGUGUGCCUCUUUUGGGGUCGGUUCACAGGUGGUGCAUGGCUGUCGUCAGCUCGUGUCGUGAGAUGUUGGGUUAAGUCCCGCAACGAGCGCAACCCUUGUUCACUGUUGCCAGCACGUUAUGGUGGGGACUCAGUGGAGACCGCCGGGGUCAACUCGGAGGAAGGUGGGGAUGACGUCAAGUCAUCAUGCCCCUUAUGUCCAGGGCUUCACGCAUGCUACAAUGGCUGGUACAGAGAGUGGCGAGCCUGUGAGGGUGAGCGAAUCUCGGAAAGUCGGUCUCAGUUCGGAUUGGGGUCUGCAACUCGACCUCAUGAAGUCGGAGUCGCUAGUCAUCGAAAAUCAGCAACGCUGCGGUGAAUACGUUCCCGGGGC
This 1345-nucleotide ribosomal RNA is filed under the name uncultured bacterium. Its description in RNAcentral is "partial 16S ribosomal RNA". It matches the Rfam family "Bacterial small subunit ribosomal RNA", at positions 28 to 1380 of the family's 1533-position model. The record is from RNAcentral.